This 301-nucleotide ribosomal RNA is filed under the name uncultured bacterium. Its description in RNAcentral is "partial 16S ribosomal RNA". It matches the Rfam family "Bacterial small subunit ribosomal RNA", at positions 509 to 807 of the family's 1533-position model. The record is from RNAcentral.
CAGCCGCCACGGGAAUACAGAGGGUGCAAGCGUUAAUCGGAAUUACUGGGCGUAAAGGGCGCGUAGGUGGUUGCGUAAGUGAGAUGUGAAAUCCCCGGGCUUAACCUGGGACGUGCAUCUUAUACUGCGUAACUGGAGAACAAGAGAGGGUAGUGGAAUUUCCGGUGUAGCGGUGAAAUGCGUAGAUAUCGGAAGGAACACCAGUGGCGAAAGCGGCUCACUGGACCAUAACUGACGCUGAGGCACGAAAGCUAGGGGAGCAAACAGGAUUAGAUACCCCCGUAGUCCCUGUCUCUUAUAC